Molecule: non-coding RNA, 104 nt
Organism: Acanthosepion pharaonis
Lineage: Eukaryota; Metazoa; Mollusca; Cephalopoda; Sepiida; Sepiidae
Source: the annotation of a GenBank genome assembly
UUACAGCCAUAUCACGUUGAAACUCCGAUUCUCGUACGCACACUGAAGUAAAGCAACGUCGAGCCUGGUCAGAACCUAGAUGAGUGACCGCUUGGGAAUACCAG